This 118-nucleotide ribosomal RNA is filed under the name Neogale vison (American mink). The record is from RNAcentral. Lineage: Eukaryota; Metazoa; Chordata; Mammalia; Carnivora; Mustelidae.
GUCUACGGCCAUACCACCCUGAACGCGCCGGAUCUCGUCUGAUCUCGGAAGCUAAGCAGGGUCGGGCCUGGUUAGUACUUGGAUGGGAGAUAAUUCUAAGAAUAGGUAACCUUUAUCC